GAUGAACGCUGGCGGCGUGCCUAAUACAUGCAAGUCGAGCGAACAGACGAGGAGCUUGCUCCUCUGACGUUAGCGGCGGACGGGUGAGUAACACGUGGAUAACCUACCUAUAAGACUGGGAUAACUUCGGGAAACCGGAGCUAAUACCGGAUAAUAUAUUGAACCGCAUGGUUCAAUAGUGAAAGACGGUUUUGCUGUCACUUAUAGAUGGAUCCGCGCCGCAUUAGCUAGUUGGUAAGGUAACGGCUUACCAAGGCAACGAUGCGUAGCCGACCUGAGAGGGUGAUCGGCCACACUGGAGCUGAGACGCGGACCAGACUCCUACGGGAGGCAGCAGUAGGGAAUCUUCCGCAGUGGGCGAAAGCCUGACGGAGCGAGGCCGCGUGAGAGAUGAAGGUCUUCGGAUCGUAAAACUCUGUUAUUAGGGAAGAACAAAUGUGUAAGUAACUGUGCACGUCUUGACGGUACCUGAUCAGAAAGCCACGGCUAACUACGUG
This 497-nucleotide ribosomal RNA is filed under the name uncultured bacterium. RNAcentral's name for it is "partial 16S ribosomal RNA". It matches the Rfam family "Bacterial small subunit ribosomal RNA", at positions 28 to 507 of the family's 1533-position model. The record is from RNAcentral.